Molecule: unclassified non-coding RNA, 281 nt
Filed under: Hevea brasiliensis (rubber tree)
Lineage: Eukaryota; Viridiplantae; Streptophyta; Magnoliopsida; Malpighiales; Euphorbiaceae
Source: RNAcentral
UGUUUUAUAGCAGUGGAAAGAAAUUCUUCUAGAGUUUUGUUUCAGAUUUCCUUUCUUUUACGUGGUUCUUCCUUGAUCGUGUCCUCAAAACAACUGGGCAACCCUUUUAUUUUAUUUUUAUGGCUUCUCGUGGUAUGGCAGAAUUUGUUAUUGCUAUUCUUUGAUGUUGAAUAUUGACAUUGAUGGUGUAAUCGAGCUAGGUUGAGUCAGUUUAUUACCUGAACUCUAAUCAAUGUGAAAACUCAAGGUUCGAAACUGACUCAACCUAGCUCGAUUACACC